GCUGAACGGGGCGGUUCGGCGGGAGGACCUCGCGAGGAGGUCCGGCUCACGUGCACACAGUUUGUGCGCUACCACAAAGAGCACUGCGUGCAAGGGCUGCUACACGUGCGCAGCGCCGCAGGAGAGAGUGCAUGUACCUCAACUGGUGAAUCCUUGCUCUGAUAUCGACUGGCUUACCAGGCAGAACCGGCACUGAGACCAGCAUGACCUCUACCUGACAGGAAAAGGCAGCGACCGCCAUGACGUCCUUU
Hippocampus comes (tiger tail seahorse) is the source of this 251-nucleotide long non-coding RNA. RefSeq lists it as uncharacterized. The transcript is spliced from 2 exons. The record is from RefSeq and is a predicted model, not a curated record. NCBI's taxonomy places the organism in Eukaryota, Metazoa, Chordata, Actinopteri, Syngnathiformes, Syngnathidae.